GCCCCGCCGGCCGAGGGAAAGGUGAGGGACGGUCGCGGGUCCUGCCAGACAAUGCUGAGCGGAGCAUGCCGCAGGUUCACCUGGGCCCUGCUGGGGACACACGCACAGACGUCUGUGGUCGCGCGUAGGUGCUUGCACGCGUCGGGGUCGCGGCCCUCGGCAGACUGAGGGAAAAGGCAGGGGAGCCGCCUUGCGGCUUCGACCCGGCGCUGCUGGACUUCCUGGUGUGCCCACUCUCCAAGAAGCCCCUCAGACAUGAAGCAUCAACAAAUGAAUUGAUAAAUGAAGAGCUAGGAAUAGCCUAUCCAAUCAUUGACGGAAUUCCUAAUAUGAUACCACAGGCAGCUAGGAUGACACAUCAAACUAAGAAGCAAGAAGAAAUGGAACAACACCAGGUUCUAAUUUUUUUAAAAGCACCACAACAACUAAAUUUUCUUAGUACCAUAUACCUUUUAAAGCAGAGUGGAGGGUAAUAAGUGGAGGAGAAGAAUGUUUCUGUCUCUUCCUACGUUGACUGUUCUUAUUCCACUGGUCUCUUUAGCAGGACUAUUCUACUCAGCCUCUGUGGAAGAAAACUUCCCCCAUGGCUGCACUAGCACAGCCAGUCUUUGCUUUUACAGUCUGCUCCUGCCCAUCACCACACCAGUGUAUGUGUUCUUCCAUCUUUGGACUUGGAUGGGUAUUAAACUCUUCUGGCAUAAUUGAUGGAACCUGAGCC
Nycticebus coucang (slow loris) is the source of this 718-nucleotide RNA transcript. It is a transcript of the gene named protein preY, mitochondrial-like, with no coding region annotated. The transcript has a single exon. The record is from RefSeq and is a predicted model, not a curated record. NCBI's taxonomy places the organism in Eukaryota, Metazoa, Chordata, Mammalia, Primates, Lorisidae.